Myiozetetes cayanensis is the source of this 5311-nucleotide RNA transcript. It is a transcript of the gene named glutamate ionotropic receptor AMPA type subunit 4, with no coding region annotated. NCBI's taxonomy places the organism in Eukaryota, Metazoa, Chordata, Aves, Passeriformes, Tyrannidae. The record is from RefSeq and is a predicted model, not a curated record. The transcript has 16 exons.
ACCACCAUCUUCUGCAUGUGCAACAUUCGCAGCCGGACAGAAACCGCUCCCCGGCGAUGGAGACUGCGGGAAAAAUCCGCCGCGGCGGGAUGGCUUGCUGAAAGCGGCAGCGGCCGCCGGGAGAGAGGCAGAGCGCGCGAGCGGGAGAGGAUAGCAAACAAAUACUAAAGCGAAACCACACAAAAUAAAAAAAAAAAAAAAAAAAAAAAAAAGGGGGAAACCUCUCUUUUUCUCCCCAUUCAUUCCUUUUUUUUUUUUUUUACAUUUUUUUUUUAUUCCUGAUUUUGUGUGUAGCCUUCUCGCCCUCGAUGCCUCUUUGAGCAGCAUCCAGCGAGCGAGCGGGAGAAGGCGAGACAGAGAGGCAGAAGAGAAGAUGAGGAUAAUUUGCAGACAGCUUGUCUUGUUGUUUUCUGGCUUUUGGGGACUAGCAAUGGGAGCUUUUCCUAGCAGCGUGCAAAUAGGUGGUCUCUUCAUCAGGAACACAGAUCAGGAAUAUACUGCUUUUCGAUUAGCAAUCUUUCUUCAUAACACCAGCCCCAAUGCAUCUGAAGCACCUUUUAAUUUGGUUCCUCAUGUAGACAACAUUGAAACAGCUAACAGCUUCGCUGUAACAAAUGCCUUUUGCUCCCAGUAUUCUAGAGGAGUUUUUGCCAUUUUUGGACUAUAUGAUAAGAGAUCAGUACAUACCUUGACCUCAUUCUGCAGCGCCUUGCACAUCUCCCUCAUCACGCCAAGUUUCCCCACGGAGGGUGAGAGUCAGUUUGUGCUGCAGCUGCGGCCAUCCCUGCGGGGAGCCCUCCUGAGCUUGCUGGAUCAUUAUGAAUGGAACCGCUUUGUUUUCCUGUAUGACACAGAUCGAGGUUAUUCAAUACUUCAAGCUAUUAUGGAAAAAGCAGGACAAAAUAGCUGGCAAGUCAGUGCCAUCUGUGUGGAGAAUUUUAACGAUGCCAGCUACAGGCGGCUUUUAGAAGAUCUGGACCGAAGGCAAGAAAAGAAAUUUGUAAUAGACUGUGAGAUAGAGAGGCUUCAGAAUCUCUUAGAACAGAUUGUGAGCGUGGGAAAGCAUGUUAAAGGAUAUCAUUAUAUUGUUGCCAACCUGGGAUUCAAAGAUAUUUCUCUGGAGAGAUUUAUGCAUGGAGGAGCCAAUGUGACUGGAUUUCAGCUAGUAGAUUUCAGCACCCCGAUGGUAACUAAGCUGAUGCAGCGCUGGAAGAAGCUGGACCAGAGAGAAUACCCAGGAUCCGAGACCCCACCAAAGUACACGUCUGCACUGACAUAUGAUGGAGUACUUGUGAUGGCUGAAACUUUCCGUAACCUUAGAAGACAGAAAAUUGAUAUUUCAAGGAGAGGAAAUGCUGGUGAUUGUCUUGCCAACCCUGCAGCCCCAUGGGGUCAAGGAAUUGAUAUGGAGAGGACAUUAAAACAGGUUCGAAUACAAGGAUUGACAGGAAAUGUUCAGUUUGACCACUAUGGUCGCAGAGUCAACUACACCAUGGAUGUCUUUGAGCUGAAAAACACGGGCCCUCGAAAGGUUGGUUAUUGGAAUGACAUGGAUAAAUUAGUUUUGAUUCAGCAUGAACCUACACUUGGAAAUGACACUGCAGCCAUUGAGAAUAGAACAGUAGUUGUCACUACAAUUUUGGAAGCCCCAUAUGUUAUGUUCAAGAAAAACCAUGAUACGUUUGAAGGGAAUGACAAGUUUGAAGGAUAUUGUGUAGAUCUGGCAUCAGAAAUUGCAAAACAUAUUGGUAUCAAGUACAAAAUUGCCAUUGUUCCUGAUGGAAAAUAUGGAGCAAGGGAUCCAGAGACAAAAAUUUGGAAUGGGAUGGUGGGAGAACUUGUUUAUGGGAAAGCAGAGAUUGCUGUUGCGCCUCUGACCAUCACUUUGGUACGAGAAGAGGUCAUUGAUUUUUCUAAGCCUUUUAUGAGUUUGGGGAUAUCCAUUAUGAUCAAAAAGCCCCAGAAAUCUAAACCAGGAGUGUUUUCCUUCUUGGACCCUUUGGCGUAUGAGAUCUGGAUGUGCAUAGUCUUUGCCUACAUUGGUGUCAGUGUGGUCCUCUUCCUAGUUAGCAGGUUUAGUCCGUAUGAGUGGCACACAGAAGAACCAGAGGAUGGGAAAGAAGGACCCAGUGACCAGCCUCCCAAUGAGUUUGGCAUAUUCAACAGCCUCUGGUUUUCCCUGGGUGCCUUUAUGCAACAAGGAUGUGAUAUUUCCCCAAGAUCCCUCUCAGGUCGCAUUGUUGGAGGUGUCUGGUGGUUCUUCACGCUCAUCAUUAUUUCAUCCUACACUGCUAACCUCGCUGCUUUCUUGACUGUUGAGCGAAUGGUCUCACCCAUAGAAAGUGCAGAAGACCUUGCCAAACAAACUGAGAUUGCUUAUGGGACACUGGACUCAGGGUCAACCAAAGAGUUCUUCAGAAGAUCAAAAAUAGCAGUGUAUGAAAAGAUGUGGACCUACAUGAAAUCAGCUGAGCCAUCAGUGUUCACUAGGACUACUGCAGAGGGAGUAGCUCGUGUCCGCAAAUCCAAGGGCAAGUUUGCCUUCCUGCUGGAGUCCACCAUGAAUGAAUACAUUGAGCAACGAAAGCCAUGUGACACCAUGAAAGUGGGAGGAAAUCUGGAUUCCAAAGGCUACGGCGUAGCCACACCGAAGGGUUCUCCAUUAAGAAAUGCUGUUAACCUCGCAGUUUUAAAACUGAAUGAACAAGGCCUCUUGGACAAAUUGAAAAACAAAUGGUGGUACGACAAAGGAGAAUGUGGCAGCGGGGGAGGUGACUCCAAGAACUCCUGUAAACCUUGCCGUUUUGAAACUCAGUGAGGCAGGCGUCUUAGACAAGCUGAAAAACAAAUGGUGGUACGAUAAAGGUGAAUGUGGACCCAAGGACUCUGGAAGUAAGGUCAGUCGCUACAGUUCGGGACCUACUAUCGUGUUCACAGAGCGGUAGAGGAAGUAAUAAACAAAAAUGAAUUAGAAAUAAAAUAAGUAGCUGUAUCCAUAGAGCAAAACAGCUUCGGCCCGUCUUGAGGGGGUCUCACUUUAAUUUAAGGAAGCACUAUUGCAUUUUGAAGUCUUCAGUGAUACAGAUCACCAAACAUCAUCCUACAUGUUCAGAGCAUCUCCUUGAAAAAAUACAAGGCAUGUUUUUUGCAUUUGGGAAAGGCAGGCUGGAUUAGUAGUUUCCUUCCUGCCUGGAGGGGAUGGACUUUUCCCACUGACUGCUUAGGAAAUGUCCCUUCCCAUCUUCUUCUUUUAGAGCUGGCCUACCUCAGCAUUUUUCUGAGAAGGAGGAAUGCUAGUGGAAAGGAUUGCCUUUCACUGCUGCCCAGGAAGAUGGUGUCUGGCUGCCUUUGGGAAUGGCCCUGGCUGCUUGAGGAGCCAAGGAACACAUGAGCUUUGAAGUGAAAGACUUCAAUAAUUAAUCACUUUCUAUAGCUUCCAGUGUUCAUCCUAAUCCAUUCCCAAACAGUAAUCCUGACAGGUCCAGGAAGCAGAGCCUCUUCUAUUUCUCUGUCUCUGGGGACAGACCCAGAAGCAGGUAUUUUCUGAUGGCUGGGAAGCACCACAGUCAGUUCCAGCCCUCAAUCCAGAAAGUCUGACAUUUCUUCACAGUGGCUGAGUCAGUGCCAGCCUGUGCAGCCACAGCUAAAGGGAAAGAGUGACGGGCCCUGCUGCUUGCUGCCUGCACGUCCUGAGAGAUACCCAGGUAAAAGCAGUGUGGGAAGCAAGCUUUGAACACAUUUUGCUUUUUCUGGCAAGUGCUUUGAAGAAAGGAGUGAAAACCAGUUAGGAGGAUGACAGAGUACCUGUAAAUGACAGCUGAGAAAGCCUCAAUCCACCACCUACAUUAGGGCAGGUCUUUCUCAGUUCUGUCUCCUCUUUGUUUGCAAGCACCAUGUUAGUAAGUGCCACCAGAGGAACAGCCAUCUCCAAGAUAUUCAGACUCCUCUUAGCCAUCUAAAAAGACACAGACAAAGCAGAACACAGCUGUAAGCCCAAAUCACCUCUGUACAUCCAUGGAAACUGUUACUGUGCUAAUCUACUGAUUACACAAUAAAUAGUGCCUCCUUAAAUUAAAUAUCCAAAUUUUUUGCAUUCUUCGUAAGUUAAAAUUUCAUAGAGAUUACAAUCAGAAUUUAAGUACUCUCCUUACUUUAGCUAAAGAUUAUAUAGUCUGCAUAAGAAUAAAGCUUUAUAAGUAUCUUAAGGCACCCAAUGUAGCAUAUGGAAGUCAAUCCUGAGAGAGUUCCUUGAGAACUAUGCUAAAAAUACACAGGGAUUUCAAGUAAAAAAAAUGUGAUUCACAACUAAGCAGUAUGGAAGUAUAGAGAAAUGUAGAGUGGUAAAUACAUCCAAAAAGGCAAUUGUUUGUAAAAUUAUAUAUAUUUAAUAAUUUGUUAAAGAAAGCUCUCACUGUUGUCUAAAUUAUCAAUAAUGUAUAAAAUUUUAUAAAUUGCUAUUAAGAAGUAUACUGUUAUUGAGCCUUAGAAGUCCAUGGGCAUGUUCCAGAACUGUAUCUAUAGUAAAAAAAACAAAAACAAAAACAAAAACAAAAAAUACCAUAAUAGGUAAGAGGCAAAUAUAUCACGAUGUGUAUGGUACAGUGUACACUGUCAGAGGAAGUGUUUGUUCAAAGAAAGAAAUUAGGCCUCACAUGUUAUUUUCACCUGUCCUUUAGGUAUCAGAUGCUCAGUCUGGAUCUUUUAAAUUAACAGCAAUGCCUACCACAAGUACAAUUACUGUUUUUUGUAAAGAUCAAGCAGAGUCUUGUCUGAUAUAAAUGGAUUUCUGGAUUCCAAGGCUUCUGAAGAGCUUUACAUAAAUGCAGUUUCAUAUCAGUGCUGAAAUGUCCCCUAAAGAGAGCUAGACAUGUCAUUGCCUAAUUUUCCACUUAAUGGAAGCAGUGCUUUGCAUUAAGCAAGCAAUGACAUCCUGAUAUGUUGGCAAUAAACUUACAAUAUUUUUUAUGCCAACCAGGAAAACUAGUUGCUUAAAAUAUAUUUUAUAGAUCCAGAUAGGUCAAAUUUUGAGAAAGUGUGUAAACAACUGUUGUUAAAUUCAGCUAAACAUUGUUAUUUAUUUCUAUUUCUAAUGUUUUAAUGUGUGGCUUGUGCUUUUGGGCAUCUGUUUUCCAGGGUUAACUGUGUCACUUCUGUUUUCCCAGGACAAGACGAGUGCCUUGAGUCUCAGCAACGUUGCUGGAGUCUUCUACAUUCUGGUUGGAGGCUUGGGCUUGGCAAUGCUGGUGGCUUUGAUAGAGUUCUGUUACAAGUCCAGGGCAGAGGCGAAACGAAUGAAGCUUACCUUUUCUGA